This 228-nucleotide ribosomal RNA is filed under the name uncultured bacterium. Its description in RNAcentral is "partial 16S ribosomal RNA". It matches the Rfam family "Bacterial small subunit ribosomal RNA", at positions 568 to 795 of the family's 1533-position model. The record is from RNAcentral.
UGCGUAGGCGGCGACAUUAGUCAGAAGUGAAAGUUGGCAGCUUAACUGCAGAAUUGCUUUUGAUACUGUGUUGCUUGAAUCAAGUUGAGGCUGGCGGAAUGUGACAUGUAGCGGUGAAAUGCUUAGAUAUGUCAUAGAACACCAAUUGCGAAGGCAGCUGGCUAGACUUGUAUUGACGCUGAGGCACGAAAGCGUGGGGAGCGAACAGGAUUAGAUACCCUGGUAGUC